CGCGAUUCGCCCUUCGGGGCGCAGCAGGCGCGAAACCUUAGCAAUGUGCGAAAGCACGACUGGGUCAGUCCGAGUGAUUCCUGAUAAAGGAGUCUUUUGCCUGUCCUAAAAGCACAGGUGAAUAAGGGGUGGGCAAGUCUGGUGUCAGCCGCCGCGGUAAUACCAGCACCUCGAGUGGUCAGGACGUUUAUUGGGCCUAAAGCAUCCGUAGCCGGCUCUGCAAGUCUUCGGUUAAAUCCACCUGCUCAACAGAUGGGCCGCUGGAGAUACUACAGAGCUAGGGAGUGGGAGAGGCAGACGGUAUUCAGUGGGUAGGGGUAAAAUCCUCUGAUCCAUUGAGGACCACCAGUGGCGAAGGCGGUCUGCCAGAACACGUUCGACGGUGAGGGAUGAAAGCUGGGGGAGCAAACCGGAUUAGAUACCCGGGUAGUCCCAGCUGUAAACGAUGCAAACUCGGUGAUGCAUUGGCUUAUGGCCAAUGCAGUGCCGCAGGGAAGCCGUUAAGUUUGCCGCCUGGGAAGUACGGACGCAAGUCUGAAACUUAAAGGAAUUGGCGGGGGAGCAC
Molecule: ribosomal RNA, 565 nt
Filed under: uncultured archaeon
Lineage: Archaea
Description: bacterial SSU rRNA
Rfam family: Archaeal small subunit ribosomal RNA
Source: RNAcentral